CAGAGCGGGGCCGGAAGUUGUCGGAAGAGGAAGUGAUAUCAUCGGUCUGGACGCCAACCGCGUUUGCAGAGGAAUCGUCCAGGAGCCCUAGCUGGACAGGAAUAUGGCAGAAGUGGACUUGAGCAGCCUGGACAUCCUUCUAAGGAGACAUGAAUAGUUCUCGUGUUUCUGCCUUCCACAUUACUGGCUGGUUUAGUAGCAAGGGAAAAGAAGUCAUGCGUCAGUCUACUGCCCUCAUGCGAUGGAAAGGGAGCGAGAGCGACGAGACUGCGAGUGUUGUUGAUGCAACACAAAAGCCGUCCAUCUGAGAGCGGAAGCGCCGCCACUUUCAGUGAGAUAAGUGUCUGGUUGGUGAGGGCUCUGCUCAUGGCCCGUUUUGCUCUUGGUAGGGACACCCCGUUAGCUAGGGCUGGGUUGGAAGAAAAGGUUCCUGACUAGUUGUGGUUUUGAGGGAGACAAGAUCCCCAUUUCCAGGGGCUGCUCAUUUCUCUGGCCAGAACCGAUGUGUCCUCUGCAGCAGGUUAGAUCCAGGAGGAUGACUCCAGGUGGUGAGUUGCUUGCCUUCCUCCCACCUUUUUUUCUCUCUCUCUUUCUAGUACGUUGGCCAACAUACACCCUCUAACUCUUUGUCUGUUCUUGCCUUUCCUUGUGCUGUCUUCCUUCAUAGGACACAGGCAGGGGUGCUAGGUGUGCAACCCCACAGGUUAGGUCUCGGGAGCCAUGGAGAAGUAGGAGCAGAUGAAAAUCAUGUGGCAGUUGGCUCUAAAGUGGAGCGAUGACUGUCGGUGUUAACUCGGUCUCUGUUCAUCAAGUAGGGCCAAUGUGGAUGGGAUGGGAGAGGGAGGUCAGGAUGAGACCAAGAUUUCAAGCACCAACAGAGCUUUGGGUAGUGAUGGCUCAUGCUUGUCUUUUGCAGCUGCGCUUGCAGAGGAAUUGUCCAGGAGUCCCAGCCGGAGGAGAAACUGGCAAACGUAGACCCGAUCAGCUUGGACAUUCUCCGAAGCAGAAAUGAACAGUCCUCAGCUUUCUGCCUUCUGCUUAAAAGGCUGCAGGGAAACACCCACACCCUAGUUAGAGGGAGCUCAUCUUCGACCUUGGCAUGAAGAGGGCCAAAGCAGAGAGGAGGAUUAAGCCUGUGCGGAGAAGUGUCGAUCCCGAGCCCCCUUACAGCCGCCCCUUCGCCACACCAUGUUCCAUCUGACCGGGAUAGGUCCCAAAGCGCAGGAGAGCUUGCGGCAGAAGGCGGGUCCAGGUGGAUGCAGAGGACGCGAGCUCUGACUUGGCUGAGUGCGUGAGUGAGGAGGGCACGGGACAGCUAGUAGGACAAACCCUGAGCCCUCUCAAGAGGCUGGUUUCUAGAACUACCUUCCAAAUGGCAGUGUUACCUUGUGAAAGGCAGGGAAAGACCCAAACCCUAGUUAGGGGGAGCUCACUUUGGACCUUGGCGUGAAGAGGGCCAAUGCAGAGAGGA
Molecule: long non-coding RNA, 1471 nt
Organism: Malaclemys terrapin pileata
Lineage: Eukaryota; Metazoa; Chordata; Testudines; Emydidae
Exons: 5
Source: RefSeq, a predicted model, not a curated record